RNAcentral lists this ribosomal RNA (489 nucleotides) under uncultured bacterium. Its description in RNAcentral is "partial 16S ribosomal RNA". It matches the Rfam family "Bacterial small subunit ribosomal RNA", at positions 30 to 506 of the family's 1533-position model. The record is from RNAcentral.
AUUGAACGCUGGCGGCAGGCCUAACACAUGCAAGUCGAACGGUAACAGGAAGCAGCUUGCUGCUUUGCUGACGAGUGGCGGACGGGUGAGUAAUGUCUGGGAAACUGCCCGAUGGAGGGGGAUAACUACUGGAAACGGUAGCUAAUACCGCAUAACGUCGCAAGACCAAAGAGGGGGACCUUAGGGCCUCUUGCCGUCGGAUGUGCCCAGAUGGGAUUAGCUAGUAGGUGGGGUAACGGCUCACCUAGGCGACGAUCCCUAGCUGGUCUGAGAGGAUGACCAGCCACACUGGAACUGAGACACGGUCCAGACUCCUACGGGAGGCAGCAGUGGGGAAUAUUGCACAAUGGGCGCAAGCCUGAUGCAGCCAUGCCGCGUGUAUGAAGAAGGCCUUCGGGCUGUAAAGUACUUUCAGCGGGGAGGAAGGGAGUAAAGUUAAUACCUUUGCUCAUUGACGUUACCCGCAGAAGAAGCACCGGCUAACUCCGU